GAUGAACGCUGGCGGCGUGCCUAAUACAUGCAAGUCGAACGGACUCUUAUUUGUUCUUCGCUUCGGAUUUCGGUCCGAGCCGGGGAACAGUAAGAGUUAGUGGCGAACGGGUGAGUAACACGUUGGUACCUGCCCCGAAGUGGGGAAUAACUGCCCGAAAGGGUGGCUAAUACCGCAUAAUACCGCAAGGUUAAAGCAGUAAUGCGCUUCGGGAGGGGCCUGCGUCCCAUUAGCUUGUUGGUGGUGUAANGGACCACCAAGGCGACGAUGGGUAGCUGGAUCGAGAGGUUGACCAGCCACACUGGGACUGAGACACGGCCCAGACUCCUACGGGAGGCAGCAGUGGGGAAUACUGGACAAUGGGCGCAAGCCUGAUCCAGCAAUGCCGCGUGGAUGAAGAAGGUCUUCGGAUUUGUAAAGUCCUUUCGGCGGGGACGAUGAUGACGGUACCCGCAGAAGAAGCCCCGGCUAACUUCGUGCCAGCAGCCG
Molecule: ribosomal RNA, 489 nt
Filed under: uncultured bacterium
Lineage: Bacteria
Description: bacterial SSU rRNA
Rfam family: Bacterial small subunit ribosomal RNA
Source: RNAcentral